RNAcentral lists this long non-coding RNA (1510 nucleotides) under Struthio camelus australis. RNAcentral's name for it is "lncRNA (ENSSCUG00000001410.1)". The record is from RNAcentral. Lineage: Eukaryota; Metazoa; Chordata; Aves; Struthioniformes; Struthionidae.
AUUUAAAAGAGCUAUUGGAAGAUAGAUGGUACAGAGAUGAGCGGAGAGAAAAAAGCAGUCCUUGCUCCUAUUCUACUAUCAUUCAGUAGCAUGGUAAUUAAAAGAGAACCAUAAAUCAACUCCUUUUCGGGCUGAGUGUAGCAUUAUACAGUCCCUGUCGCCUUCUGGCAGCUCUCUGAGCCCCAACCCUGCGUUGAGGUGACAGCAUCAGCAUACCUCACCUUGCUGGUAGCUGAGAUAGAGGUGGCCUUCAAAAAGUGCAGACUUCCUAAACCCUAUGAAGAGGUACUCACAGGCUGUGGCUGUGCUCUUUAUUUUCAGGGGAUGCAUCCUGAUCUUGGGGUCAGCUGAAGCCAGUCGAGCUCCGCAGAUCUGCAUCAGCUGGAGCGCUGGCCCGGGUACGCACGUGGCCCACCACUGACUGCGGCAGGUGCUGUGGCCAGGUGGGCCGCCCGUGGCACGCUGCUCGGCGAGGAAACCCCCAGCUCCUCCCUGGAAGUGAGCUGGGACUCUGAGUUUUCAGCCCAAUCCACCCCCAGGAUGCACCUAACCUGCAUGAUGGUGUUUGGCAGCUCUCCAAAUCGGGUCACUGGUUUAUUCAGCAGAAGCCAAUCCCAAGCCCAUCUGGUUGCUCUUGGGCAUGGAGCAGCCUGACAAGGGUUUAAAAUCAAAAUAUUAGCCUUUAAAAAAGACAAGAAAUUGUAACAAACUUUCUGUGAAUAAUAGUGGGAAUUCUUCAUGUUUUCUAGUUGUUUGUUUGUUUUUGUAAUGCUUGUGGUAUUGAAACGAUAUUCUUGUGCCUUCGUAUACCUUUUCCAAAAUCACUGCUCUUUCACAUUCCCUGCAAACUUAAUCUCUGGGUAAAUCCUUUUGGUCUUUAAACUUUUGAUCUGCACUGAGCAAACAAGAUGAAGUCAUUCCCAAAUCCUAAAAACUGGAAAAAGUCUAUCUCGUGCUGAGCACUCAUGGAGUAAUUCUCCAGCAAGGGGAGUUCCAAAACACAAGUGUUUGUGGGCAAAAUAUGACUCUCGCGAUCUGCCCACGUUGGACGAGGCUAUUAGUGAGUUCAUGACAAGCAACACACUGGAACACAAUUAGAGAAGAGCUCUGUAGUAGGCGAGAACCUCCCAACAUUUUAAAUGUCAGCUCAGAAACUUAUUAAUUGCUUGGAAAGGGCUUCUGGAGCCAAGGUAAACUUUGGGGAAAUGGCAUAAUCUGCCAACGUGCCUUCAGACAAGCAAGGUCCUGGGAGAUCCCUCUCUGCUUGGACAUACGGGUUUAAGCCCUGACUGCUGGGUGGAAUGACUCCUCUUUAACACUGCUGUGAUGGAUGAUUUCUGUCAUGCACUGGAAGUGAAGUAUCUGAUGAGUUACUGAUUGGCUGGCAUGUUUAUAGAGCAAUUUUCCUGGCAGAAAGUGCUGGUUUCAUCAAAACCGAGCUAUUUUGCAGAAACAUGGCUGACCCUCCUUCCAAGGGCAGAUUUUGACUUUUUCUUUAGAAAUAAACUUG